UACGGAGGGGGCUAGCGUUAUCCGGAAUUAUUGGGCGUAAAGGGUGUGUAGGUGGUGGUAUUAGUCUCCUGUCAAAUUCUUCGGCUUAACCGGGGGCUCGCGGGGGAAACGGUACCACUAGAGGGUGCGAGGGGUGUGUGGAACUCAUGGAGUAGGGGUGAAAUCCGUUGAUAUCAUGGGGAACACCAAAAGCGAAGGCAGCACACUGGCGCAUUCCUGACACUGAAACACGAAAGCGUGGGUAGCGAAUGGG
Molecule: ribosomal RNA, 253 nt
Filed under: uncultured bacterium
Lineage: Bacteria
Description: partial 16S ribosomal RNA
Rfam family: Bacterial small subunit ribosomal RNA
Source: RNAcentral